Molecule: transfer RNA, 72 nt
Filed under: Camelus bactrianus (Bactrian camel)
Lineage: Eukaryota; Metazoa; Chordata; Mammalia; Artiodactyla; Camelidae
Also listed under: 2 other names
Rfam family: tRNA
About the family: Transfer RNA (tRNA) molecules are approximately 80 nucleotides in length. Their secondary structure includes four short double-helical elements and three loops (D, anti-codon, and T loops). Further hydrogen bonds mediate the characteristic L-shaped molecular structure. tRNAs have two regions of fundamental functional importance: the anti-codon, which is responsible for specific mRNA codon recognition, and the 3' end, to which the tRNAs corresponding amino acid is attached (by aminoacyl-tRNA synthetases). tRNAs cope with the degeneracy of the genetic code in two manners: having more than one tRNA (with a specific anti-codon) for a particular amino acid; and 'wobble' base-pairing, i.e. permitting non-standard base-pairing at the 3rd anti-codon position.
Source: Rfam by way of RNAcentral
GGGGGUAUAGCUCAGUGAUAGAGCAUGUGCUUAGCAUGCUCGAGGUCCUGGGUUCAAUUCCCAGUACCUCCA